Molecule: long non-coding RNA, 547 nt
Filed under: Mytilus galloprovincialis (Mediterranean mussel)
Lineage: Eukaryota; Metazoa; Mollusca; Bivalvia; Mytilida; Mytilidae
Source: RNAcentral
AGAUUCAGGUUCUUUAUUAAUUAGUGUUUUCCAUUACAAAUCAUAUGAUAAUAUAGAAAACAACAUUUCAAGGUUUCACAUGUAGUAUAUAAUAAUACAAUUGAACACAUAAUUUUAAGUGUUGUUUCUUAAUAUAAUAUUUUGUGGAUUUAAAAGGUUAGAAACUGAAAGAUAAUUAUUAUGCGAAUCUUUAAACCAUAAGAUUAGAAAAAAGUUGGCCUUAUCUUUAUAUUUAUAUAUCAAUGUUCUUCUGUCUCUACUUCAGUGCAGAGUUUGCAAAAACAUUCUUCUCUUGGAAUUUUGGGUUUGUUAUAUCUACCCCGCUCUAUAUUUAAACAAUUAGCCCUUAUACGUAGUUGGUUAAUUUUCCUUUUUAUAGUUUUGGUAGUUUCAAGAUAGGAAGGUAACAAAAUUUACAACAAAAAUAUUACUGAAAAGCAUCAAUUUAUUGUCCACAUCUCUAGAUAUGAUUUUUGUAGGUGUGAGUCAGAGUGUUGAUUAUGAUAUCUUAUUAGACUAUUCUUAAAACACUAUUAUCUAUCAAAUG